UUCCCAUUCGCCAACCGCUCAGUUCGGCCUUGGGGGUCAAAGGUUCUCCCUGGCCCACGAAGGCUUUCGCUGCCCCAUUGUCUUCAUGCGAGAAAUUGACCAAUGGGAAAAGACUCUGAUCCUCCAGCCAAUCAAUCAGAGCGCGGGCUUUGUGUGAAUGAAGAUUGAGCUUCACACAGACUGAAACUUCCUCCUGUGUCCAACAUCUGUUAUCAGAAGAAGAGGAUUUGCAGACAGUAGACUCAAAACCAAACAUCACUUCAAGAUCUCAGAGUCAUUUGAUUCAUGGAACCUGAAUAUUAUCAGCCUUUGAAUCUAUAAGGAAAGAUGUUUCUCUGUCCUACCUGCUUGUGAAGACUUUAAACAUCUGCCUGACCAAGAUAGCACGAAGACGCACACACCUGAGUGAGAGUGUUCCAGUGCACUGACUGCAGAAAGAGCUUUCACCAGUUACACAGUCUGGUAAAACAUUGGACCAUUCACAGCGGAGAGAGCAUACUUAUGUCCUGUGUGUGGAGGAAGAUUCAACUGAUUGUCGAACCUUGAAAGACAUAACGACACCCGCACCAUGGAGAAACCUUGGAAAUAUGGGUACUGUGGGAAGGGAUUCAGAUCCCCAUCUGAAUCUCAUCGGCGCAGUCACACUGGGGAGAGGCCAUUCACCUGCACUGUGUGUGGGAAAGGAUUCGCUCAUUCAUCCAACCUGCGGACACACCAGCGAGUUCACACUGGGAAGAGGCCAUUCACCUGCUCCAACUGUUGGAAGGGAUUCAAUUCGUUAUCUCACCUGCUGACACACCAGCGAAUUCACACCAGGGAGAGGCCAUUCACCUGCUCUGAGUGCAGGAAGGUAUUCAGUGAUCCAUCCAACCUACGAACACACCAGUGAGUUCACUCCGGAAAGAGGCCGUUCACUUGCCCUGAGUAUGGAAAGAGAAUCACUCAGUUAUCCCACCUGCUGACACACCAACGAGUUCACACUGGGGAGAGACCAUUUACCUGUUCUGAGCGUGGGAAGAAUUCAGUAAAUCAUCCAACCUGCUGACGCACCAGCGAGUUCAUACCGGGUAGAGACCAUUUAUCUGCGCUGAGUGUGGGAAGGUAUUCACUCAUCUAUCCACGCUGCUGACUCACCAGCGAGUUCACCCUGGGGAGAAGCCGUUCACCUGCUCUGAAUGUGGGAAGGGAUUCAGUCAAAUAUCCAACCUGCGGACACACCUGCAAGUUCACACUGGGGAGAGACUGUUCACCUGUUCUGGGCGUGGGAGCGGAUUCACUGUUUAAUCUGCCCUGCUGAGGCAGCAGAGAGUUCAAACCGAGGAGAGACCGUUCACCUGUUCCGAGUGUGGGAGAUUCACUCAGUCAUCAAAUCUGUUGAGACACCAGGUUCAGAAGCAAAUGAUAUAAACAUUUCCGAGAGAAAGCUAUCGACUUAUUCAUCUUGUCUACACUUCCCUGAAUUUCACUAGAAUCUACAUGGAUACCAGAUUGAUCUAUUCCAUUCAACUAUACCCAAGCUACAUUACAGUAUCUGGAACUUAAGAAGACAGGGAAUUGAAGACUUCAUCGUUAAGCUUACAUACAGUACAAUUUGGUAAUAUAAGCCUUAUUAAUUACAUAAAUGUGUCAUCGAGAUGAAGUCUAACAGUUAACACUGAGAAAGAGGCUGACUCCAGUUAUUUUGCAGGGAAUCCCCAUUCUUUUUAGCGACUACAACGUACUGACAUCACCAAACCAGGACAAGUAGAACUUUCAUACCCCUUAACCUUGUGUCGAUCCUCAGUACAAGGUGAAUCUGGGUAACAUUUUCACCAAUCUAAUCCACAUACUGAUGAGGUGCAGCCACUGCCUAACACAGCACAGUUGAAUGAGUCUGUGACUAACACACUCAUCACUGGACCAAAUCUCCUUGUGACUAGUACAAUUCCUUCAGAGUGAUCAUCAUCAUCAUCUUCAGCCUCAGAAUUCUCUGUAUCAUGUGUCACUUCAAAGACCCUGAUUUUCCGCUUUGGGCAGUUCAUCACAUAAUGAUAUUUUGAGUCAGGCCUGAAACACCUGUUAAUUGUUCCUUGGUCAUUCCUGGGGUUCAUUCACCUAUUAAUGCUGUUCCAAUCCUGUCUUUUGUUGUGAUAUCCAGAUCUGCUAAAGAUGCUUUCACCCUCAUUUGAAACCUGUCAAAGUCCAACUGUGCUUCAUAGGCAUCCACUAGAUCAUCUUUCUUGUAAAUCUCAUCAAUGAAGCCGAAUAGAAGAUCCAAACCUUCAUCAGUAUCCAACUGACAGGCAUCUGGCUCACUAAAUACUUUGCUUCUGAAUUUACUUUUGUUGGGAAGUGACAAUGCCAAGACCAGACCUUCUUUCCUCCUUGGUAGGGACAUAACCCGUGUCCACAUAUCCACUUCAUUCUUCCACUGGUCGUGUGGCUCAGACUCCGAGAACAUCGGCGGGUAAUCAGACCCUGACAAUUUCCACUUGCUUUCAGCCAUUUCUCACAAAAGCUACUCAGGUUGUAAGUUUCUGUGUGAAGUUUUAAUUUCCUUUAGUUUCCAACCUUCACCAUUAAACAUACAUUCUCUGUUACCAUGUUAUAAUCCUAACAGCCUGAUGGUGAAGGAAGAAACCAGAGCCAAUCUUUAUUUGGUAUAGAUUUAUCCACUGAGUGAAACAUUACGGGUAUAUACCUCCUGACUCCACUCCACUCUAUGUUAGUAAAGGUCUCUUUAUAUGUGCUCAAGUAACUAUCCAAUCCAUGAUUUCCACCUGUAUAUACUUAACCUCAAUUGACAUAAUUGACAAUCACAGUCAGAGCAUCUAAAACGUCUCUAAUCAAUGUGACUGUCAUGGUGUGUCAGCAGCUCGGAUGAACAAGUGAAUCUCUUCCCACACUCAGAGCGUGCCAACAGCCUCUCCCCGGUGUGAACCCGCUGGUAUCUCAGCAGGGUGGAUGGAUCACUGAAUACCUUCCCACACUCAGAACAGGUGAAUGGCUUCUUCCCGGUGUGAACUCGCUGGUGUGUCUGCAGGGUGGAUGACUGAGGGAAUCCCUUCCCAAACACGUAACAGAUGAACGGCCUCUCCCCAGUAUGAACUCGCUGGUGUGUGUGCAGGUCGUAAGACCGAGUGAAUCUCUUCCCACAUUCAGAACAGACGAGCCAGUCCCCGGUGUGAACUUGCUGGUGUGACAGCAGGUAGAAUGACCGAGUGAAUCCCUUCCCACACUCACUGCAGGUGAACAGCCUCUCCCCACUGUGACCUCGCUUGUGCAUCAGCAGGGGGGAUGAGUCACUGAAUCCCUUCCCACACUCCGAGCAGGUGAACGGCCUCUCCCCAGUGUGAACUCGCUGGUGUGAUUGCAGGCUGGAUAACUGACUAAAUCCCUUCCCACACUCAGGGCAGGUGAAUGGUG
Long non-coding RNA from Carcharodon carcharias (great white shark), 3405 nucleotides. RefSeq lists it as uncharacterized. The record is from RefSeq and is a predicted model, not a curated record. Lineage: Eukaryota; Metazoa; Chordata; Chondrichthyes; Lamniformes; Lamnidae. The transcript has 4 exons.